Non-coding RNA from Cinara cedri, 372 nucleotides. NCBI's taxonomy places the organism in Eukaryota, Metazoa, Arthropoda, Insecta, Hemiptera, Aphididae. The record is from the annotation of a GenBank genome assembly.
AUAUUGGCUUGACGGACACGUUUAAAUAUGAACAUGUUAUUUAUUCGUUCUGUUUAUUUCACAAUACAGGUAUUUCGGAAAAAAAUCGAAUGAAGUUCAUAAUGGCAUAAUCGUGUGAUGGCAACCGCGAAUUAAUAUUUUUAAUAUUUCGUAUUAUUAUACAGAGAUAUACGAUUUGUCGAGAUCCUUUCAAAAUUUCGAACCGGACACCUGCCAGUUUGUUUAUCGCCGUAGUUAGAAAACAAUGCCACUCGAUUUUAUCACGAUAACUUGCUUCUUUCGCGUACCCUAAGAAGGUUGACAAAUGACAGAUGACUAUAACUGAGGUAUACCUAGGUUACCUAGGUUUAUAAUUUUAUAUUGCUUUUUUUU